This 168-nucleotide ribosomal RNA is filed under the name Pichia scutulata. Its description in RNAcentral is "partial 18S rRNA". It matches the Rfam family "Eukaryotic small subunit ribosomal RNA", at positions 1484 to 1653 of the family's 1831-position model. Lineage: Eukaryota; Fungi; Ascomycota; Pichiomycetes; Pichiales; Pichiaceae. RNAcentral also lists the same sequence under 2 other names. The record is from RNAcentral.
GGGCCGCACGCGCGCUACACUGACGGAGCCAGCAAGUAUAGCCUUGGUCGAGAGGCCUGGGUAAUCUCGUGAAACUCCGUCGUGCUGGGGAUAGAGCAUUGUAAUUUUUGCUCUUCAACGAGGAAUUCCUAGUAAGCGCAAGUCAUCAGCUUGCGUUGAUUACGUCCC